GGCUCAGAACGAACGCUGGCGGCAGGCCUAACACAUGCAAGUCGAGCGCGCCCUUCGGGGUGAGCGGCGGACGGGUUAGUAACGCGUGGGAACGUACCCUUUGGUAGGGAAUAGCCACUGGAAACGGUGAGUAAUACCCUAUGAGCCCUUCGGGGGAAAGAUUUAUCGCCAAAAGGAUCGGCCCGCGUUAGAUUAGGUAGUUGGUGGGGUAGUGGCCUACCAAGCCUACGAUCUAUAGCUGGUUUUUAGAGGAUGAUCAGCAACACUGGGACUGAGACACGGCCCAGACUCCUACGGGAGGCAGCAGUGGGGAAUCUUGGACAAGUGGGGGCAACCCUGAUCCCAGCCAUGCCGCGUGAGUGAAGAAGGCCUUAGGGUCGUAAAGCUCUUUCGCCUGUGAAGAUAAUGACGGUAGCAGAUAAAGAAACCCCGGCUAACUCCGUGCCAGCCGCAGC
This 455-nucleotide ribosomal RNA is filed under the name uncultured bacterium. Its description in RNAcentral is "bacterial SSU rRNA". It matches the Rfam family "Bacterial small subunit ribosomal RNA", at positions 21 to 518 of the family's 1533-position model. The record is from RNAcentral.